GACGAACGCUGGCGGCGUGCUUAACACAUGCAAGUCGAACGGAAAGGCCCUGCUUUUGUGGGGUGCUCGAGUGGCGAACGGGUGAGCAACACGUGAGUAACCUGCCCUUGACUUUGGGAUAACUUCAGGAAACUGGGGCUAAUACCGGAUAGGAGCUCCUGCUGCAUGGUGGGGGUUGGAAAGUUUCGGCGGUUGGGGAUGGACUCGCGGCUUAUCAGCUUGUUGGUGGGGUAGUGGCUUACCAAGGCUUUGACGGGUAGCCGGCCUGAGAGGGUGACCGGCCACAUUGGGACUGAGAUACGGCCCAGACUCCUACGGGAGGCAGCAGUGGGGAAUAUUGCACAAUGGGCGGAAGCCUGAUGCAGCAACGCCGCGUGCGGGAUGACGGCCUUCGGGUUGUAAACCGCUUUCGCCUGUGACGAAGCGUGAGUGACGGUAAUGGGUAAAGAAGCACCGGCUAACUACGUGCCAGCAGCCGCGGUGAUACGUAGGGUGCGAGCGUUGUCCGGAUUUAUUGGGCGUAAAGGGCUCGUAGGUGGUUGAUCGCGUCGGAAGUGUAAUCUUGGGGCUUAACCCUGAGCGUGCUUUCGAUACGGGUUGACUUGAGGAAGGUAGGGGAGAAUGGAAUUCCUGGUGGAGCGGUGGAAUGCGCAGAUAUCAGGAGGAACACCAGUGGCGAAGGCGGUUCUCUGGGCCUUUCCUGACGCUGAGGAGCGAGAGCGUGGGGAGCGAACAGGCUUAGAUACCCUGGUAGUCCACGCUGUAAACGGUGGGUACUAGGUGUGGGGUCCAUUCCACGGGUUCCGUGCCGUAGCUAACGCUUAAGUACCCCGCCUGGGGAGUACGGCCGCAAGGCUAAAACUCAAAGGAAUUGACGGGGCCCCGCACAAGCGGCGGAGCAUGCGGAUUAAUUCGAUGCAACGCGUAGAACCUUACCUGGGUUUGACAUGGAUCGGGAGUGCUCAGAGAUGGGUGUGCCUCUUUUGGGGUCGGUUCACAGGUGGUGCAUGGCUGUCGUCAGCUCGUGUCGUGAGAUGUUGGGUUAAGUCCCGCAACGAGCGCAACCCUUGUUCACUGUUGCCAGCACGUUAUGGUGGGGACUCAGUGGAGACCGCCGGGGUCAACUCGGAGGAAGGUGGGGAUGACGUCAAGUCAUCAUGCCCCUUAUGUCCAGGGCUUCACGCAUGCUACAAUGGCUGGUACAGAGAGUGGCGAGCCUGUGAGGGUGAGCGAAUCUCGGAAAGCCGGUCUCAGUUCGGAUUGGGGUCUGCAACUCGACCUCAUGAAGUCGGAGUCGCUAGUAAUCGCAGAUCAGCAACGCUACGGUGAAUACGUUCCCGGG
Molecule: ribosomal RNA, 1342 nt
Filed under: uncultured bacterium
Lineage: Bacteria
Description: 16S ribosomal RNA
Rfam family: Bacterial small subunit ribosomal RNA
Source: RNAcentral